AGCGAACGCUGGCGGCAGGCUUAACACAUGCAAGUCGAGCGGGCGUAGCAAUACGUCAGCGGCAGACGGGUGAGUAACGCGUGGGAACAUACCUUUUGGUUCGGAACAACACAGGGAAACUUGUGCUAAUACCGGAUAAGCCCUUACGGGGAAAGAUUUAUCGCCGAAAGAUUGGCCCGCGUCUGAUUAGCUUGUUGGUGAGGUAACGGCUCACCAAGGCGACGAUCAGUAGCUGGUCUGAGAGGAUGAUCAGCCACAUUGGGACUGAGACACGGCCCAAACUCCUACGGGAGGCAGCAGUGGGGAAUAUUGGACAAUGGGCGAAAGCCUGAUCCAGCCAUGCCGCGUGAGUGAUGAAGGCCCUAGGGUUGUAAAGCUCUUUUGUCCGGGAAGAUAAUGACUGUACCGGAAGAAUAAGCCCCGGCUAACUUCGUGCCAGCAGCCGCUGUAAG
RNAcentral lists this ribosomal RNA (452 nucleotides) under uncultured bacterium. RNAcentral describes it as "bacterial SSU rRNA". It matches the Rfam family "Bacterial small subunit ribosomal RNA", at positions 29 to 524 of the family's 1533-position model. The record is from RNAcentral.